This 25-nucleotide non-coding RNA is filed under the name Mus musculus (house mouse). Lineage: Eukaryota; Metazoa; Chordata; Mammalia; Rodentia; Muridae. The record is from RNAcentral.
UCCUGUGUGACCAAGUUGCAUGUGU